RNAcentral lists this long non-coding RNA (2095 nucleotides) under Sus scrofa (pig). Its description in RNAcentral is "lncRNA (ENSSSCG00035020938.1)". Lineage: Eukaryota; Metazoa; Chordata; Mammalia; Artiodactyla; Suidae. The record is from RNAcentral.
CCACAGCAACUCGGGAUCCAAGCCGCGUCUGCGACCUAUACCAUAGUUCACGGCAACACCAGAUCCUUAACCCACUGACUGGGGCCAGGGAUCGAAGCCGCAUCCUCAUGGAUACUAGUCAGGUUCAUUACCACUGAGCUACAACAGAACUCCCUCUCUCUCUUUUUUUAAACAUUCAUAAAUACUUUAAAAGGGAGUUCCCCUUGUGGCUCAGCAGUAAGGAACCCAGCUAGUAUCCAUGAGGAUGUGGGUUCAAUCCCUGGCCUUGCUCAGCGAGUUAAGGAUCUGGAAUUGCCAUAAACUGAGGACUAGGUCAAAGGUGCAGCUCAGAUAUGGUGUUGCCAUGGCUGUGGCAUAGGCCUGCAGCUGCAGCUCCAAUCCAACCACUGGCCUGGGAACUUCCGUAUGCCACAGGUGUGGCCAUAAAAAAGUAAUAAUAAUAAUAAAAUAAAUAAAUACAUAGUUUAAGAAUCUUAAAUAUAUGCUUUCAUUUUUUUUCUCCCAGCCUUUUUGCUUUGGUUCUCAUACGUUUUUACUGCUACAUAUUUUGUAAACUCACAAUACAUUGUUUUGUUUCAUUUCUUUCUUUCUUUGUUUUUAUGGCCACACCCACAGCAUACAGAAGUUCCUGGGCCAGGGAUUGAAUCCCAGCCACGGCUGUGACCUAUGCCAUGGCUGCAGCAAUGUCAGAUCAUUUAACCCACUGUAUCAGGCCAGGGGUCAAACCCGAACCUCGGACAGUGACCUGAGCUGCUACAGUCAGAUUCUUAAUCCACUGUGUCACAGCAGGAGCUCCUACAGUGUUUUAUUUUGUUUUAAACUAAAGACGGGAUUAAGAUGGCAGAGUAGAAGGACUAGAGCUCACCUUCUCUCAUAAAAGCAACAAAAUUAUAGCCAACUGAUGAACUACCUCCAAACAAACAGACUGCAAACUAUCAAAAAAGAUAUCCUGCUCCAGAAGACAAAGAGGAGGCCACAUCAAGACACUAGGAGGGGCGAUUAUGCCAUAUAAGCAACCCCAUACCCGCUGGGUGGGCAGCCCACAGAAUGGAAAGUAACUGUAUCACAGAGACUCACCUAUGGGAGUGAGAGUUCUGAGCCCCACGUCAGGUCCUCAUGCCCAGGGAUCUGGUAUUGGAAGAAGGAGUCCCCGGGGCACCUGGCAUUGAAGGCCAGUGGGGCUUGUGCACAGGAGCUCCACAGGACUGGGGGAAACGGAUACCCCAUUCUUGAAAGGUGCACACAGGCUCUUAUGUGCACUGGGUCCCAGGGCAAAGCAGAGGCUCCAUAGGGAUUUGGAUCAGACCUGACUGCAGUUCUUGGAGGAUCUCCUGGGAAAACAGGGUGACUGUGGCUUGUCGUGGGGGAAGGACAUUGGAGUCAAAGGUCUCGGGAAAAAUCGUCAGAGUGUAUUCCUCUAGAGGUGGCCAUUUUGGGGAAAGCUGGCCCCACCCAUCAGUGCUGAGAAGCCCCAGGCCAAACAAUAAUCCAGGUGGGAUCAGAGCCCCACCUGUCAGCAGACAGGCUGCUAAAGACCCCCCCACAUACAGCCAGCUUCACAUCUCACCCACACAAAGCCCCCACCCACCAGAGGAAUAGGAAUAAGCUCCACCUACCAGUGGGCAGGCACCAGUCCCUCCCAUCAGGAAGCCUGCAGCAAGCCCCCUUACCAACUUCAGCCACAAGGACAGACACCACAAAUAAGAGAGGCUACAACUCUAUUGUCUGUAAAAAGGAGACCACACCAAAAAUCUAUACAAAAUGAAAAGGCAGAGAAUUAUGACUCAGAUAAGGGAGCAAGAAAAAUCCCCAGGAAAAUCAGCUAAGUGACCUGGAGAGUAUCAGCCUCCAUGAAAAAGACUUUAGACUAAUGAUAGUGAAGAUGAUUCAAGACAUUGGAAAUAAACUGGAGGCAAUGAUUGAUUAACUACAAGAAACACUGAGCAAAGAAAUACAACAGUUGAAGAUUAAGCAAGCAGAAAUGCAAAAUACAAUAACGGAAAUAAAAAAUUCAUUAGAAGCAACUAAUAGCAGAAUUCAGGAGGCAGAAAAAUGAAUAAGCAAGGUGGAGGACAGACUAGUGGAAAUCACUGAU